AGUAGAGACGGGGUUUCACCAUGUUGGCCAGGCUGGUCUCAAACUCCUGACCUCAGGUGAUCCAACCACC
Molecule: microRNA precursor, 70 nt
Filed under: Cebus imitator (Panamanian white-faced capuchin)
Lineage: Eukaryota; Metazoa; Chordata; Mammalia; Primates; Cebidae
Description: miRNA (ENSCCAG00000006302.1)
Source: RNAcentral